CCUACGGGAGGCUGCAGUAGGGAAUAUUGCUCAAUGGGGGAAACCCUGAAGCAGCAACGCCGCGUGGAGGAUGAAGGUUUUCGGAUUGUAAACUCCUUUUGUUAGAGGAGAUAAUGACGGUAUCUAACGAAUAAGCACCGGCUAACUCCGUGCCAGCAGCCGCGGUAAUACGGAGGGUGCAAGCGUUACUCGGAAUCACUGGGCGUAAAGGGCGCGUAGGCGGGAUAGCAAGUCAGAUGUGAAAUCCUAUGGCUUAACCAUAGAACUGCAUUUGAAACUGUUAUUCUAGAGUAUGGGAGAGGUAGGUGGAAUGCUUGGUGUAGGGGUAAAAUCCGUAGAGAUCAAGAGGAAUACUCAUUGCGAAGGCGACCUGCUAGAACAUAACUGACGCUGAUGCGCGAAAGCGUGGGGAGCAAACAGGAUUAGAUACCCCAGUAGUC
Molecule: ribosomal RNA, 440 nt
Filed under: uncultured bacterium
Lineage: Bacteria
Description: partial 16S ribosomal RNA
Rfam family: Bacterial small subunit ribosomal RNA
Source: RNAcentral